UAUUGGUCAAUGGGCGCAAGCCUGAACCAGCCAAGUCGCGUGAGGGAUGACGGUCCUAUGGAUUGUAAACCUCUUUUGUCGGGGAGCAACGCGCGGUACGAGUACCGCGAAGGAGAGUACCCGAAGAAAAAGCAUCGGCUAACUCCGUGCCAGCAGCCGCGGUAAUACGGAGGCUGCGAGCGUUAUCCGGAUUUAUUGGGCUUAAAGGGUGCGUAGGCGGAUUUGUAAGUCAGCGGUAAAAAUGCGGUGCUCAACGCCGUAUCGCCGUUGAAACUGCAGGUCUUGAGUGAGCGAGAAGUAUGCGGAAUGCGUGGUGUAGCGGUGAAAUGCAUAGAUAUCACGCAGAACUCCGAUUGCGAAGGCAGCAUACCGGCGCUCAACUGACGCUGAGGCACGAAAGCGUGGGGAUCGAACAGGA
Molecule: ribosomal RNA, 418 nt
Filed under: uncultured bacterium
Lineage: Bacteria
Description: bacterial SSU rRNA
Rfam family: Bacterial small subunit ribosomal RNA
Source: RNAcentral